Molecule: long non-coding RNA, 410 nt
Organism: Quercus lobata
Lineage: Eukaryota; Viridiplantae; Streptophyta; Magnoliopsida; Fagales; Fagaceae
Exons: 2
Source: RefSeq, a predicted model, not a curated record
CCGCCCGCCCAUUUUGCCAUGUCUACUACUUUUCAGCAUUUGUCUCUCUCACUUCAACAGCCGUUCUCCCCUUUCCCUCUCCAGUCAUUCUCUCCCUCCCCUUUCAAUCGCACCGACUCCGAUUCCCGCCGCCCCAGCAGAUCUCCAAAGUUGUGUUGAAGAUACUUAAGCAGCUUAAUUUGCCACUUGAUACUCCAAUUUUGCUUGAAAAAGGAGAUAUUGAUAGGGUAAGCCGACCUUGGGAGAUCCUACCUGCUGGUCACAAAAUUGGGACACCAGAGCCAUUGUUUAAGGAAUUAGUAUAACUCUCCUACUUCUAUGAUUUGUUUUGUGAAUUGUGAUGGAGAUUUUUUGUUUGGAAUUGAGGGCUUUUUGUUUCAUUAUUAAAAUCUGCUCAAGGCUUAAAACAA